Molecule: long non-coding RNA, 894 nt
Filed under: Marmota monax (woodchuck)
Lineage: Eukaryota; Metazoa; Chordata; Mammalia; Rodentia; Sciuridae
Source: RNAcentral
CUUAGGUCUUUGAGAUUCUUGUUUAUUAAUUGUUAUCAUAAAAUCAGAUUUUUCUAUGCAGUGUUUUUCUCUUUGAGUCAUCUUGCCUCAGCAUUAAGCCAGACUCCAAAACUGAGGCAUUCAGACACUCCAGGGCCUGUUUGUGAAGAUGGUGUGAUGUUACUGCUCAGGCAGAACUGGAGACAGCAUAGACAGAGGGUAAGCAGAGAAGUGUUUAGACUUGUUCUCUGAAGCCAGGGUGCUACAAUGGAGGCCAGGCUCUGGGAUUCCCUAUUUUUGACUGUAAGCAGGUUCUGUACCUGUCUGCACCUUCAUUUCCUCACCUGUAAGAUGGGGAUGAUGGAAUUAGCAACCUCUUAGCAUGUUCUGAUCAUCAUCUGGAUGCCUGUAUUUCAGAAGACACCUUGGACCCAUUCAGUUAUAACUAGCUGUGUCAUUUUCAUGGUCACUUCCAGAGAUUCUCAAAACACCAACAAGAACUACAGAUUGUUGGGUUUAAAAAAAAAAGUCACUUAAAAGCCCAGCCUUGGUGGUGCAUGCCUGUAAUCCCAGCGGCUCGGGAGAUUGAGUCAGGAGGAUUGCAAGUUCAAAGCCAGCCUCAGCAAUGACGAGAUACUAAGCAGCUCAGUGAGACCCUGUCUCUAAAUACAAUACAAAAUAGGGCUGGGGAUGUGGCUUAGUGGUUGAGUGCCCUGAGUUCAAUCCCCAGUACCAAAAAAAAAAAAAGUCAUUUAAAAAGCUUUAAAGAAAUUUCAGUGCAACACCCACUACAACAUGCGAGAACAAAAAGACAUAAAAUAGCUUAGCUCCUGGGAAAUAUCUUAAUAAAGGACAUGGAGGGCUUUUCUAUCCCGAGCUCUGGGUUAUUAAGGGAAAAUGUAACAGCAUAAUAAC